GGGGGAUAUUGCACAAUGGGGGAAACCCUGAUGCAGCGACGCCGCGUGGAGGAAGAAGGUUUUCGGAUUGUAAACUCCUGUCGUUAGGGACGAUAAUGACGGUACCUAACAAGAAAGCACCGGCUAACUACGUGCCAGCAGCCGCGGUAAAACGUAGGGUGCAAGCGUUGUCCGGAAUUACUGGGUGUAAAGGGAGCGCAGGCGGACCGGCAAGUUGGAAGUGAAAACUAUGGGCUCAACCCAUAAAUUGCUUUCAAAACUGCUGGCCUUGAGUAGUGCAGAGGUAGGUGGAAUUCCCGGUGUAGCGGUGGAAUGCGUAGAUAUCGGGAGGAACACCAGUGGCGAAGGCGACCUACUGGGCACCAACUGACGCUGAGGCUCGAAAGCAUGGGUAGCAAACAGGAUUAGAUACCCUGGUAGUCCAUGCCGUAAACGAUGAUUACUAGGUGUUGGAGGAUUGACCCCUUCAGUGCCGCAGUUAACACAAUAAGUAAUCCACCUGGGGAGUACGACCGCAAGGUUGAAACUCAAAGGAAUUGACGGGGGCCCGCACAAGCAGUGGAGUAUGUGGUUUAAUUCGAAGCAACGCGAAGAACCUUACCAGGUCUUGACAUACGAUGCAUAGUGCAGAGAUGCAUGAAGUCCUUCGGGACAUCGAGACAGGUGGUGCAUGGUUGUCGUCAGCUCGUGUCGUGAGAUGUUGGGUUAAGUCCCGCAACGAGCGCAACCCUUAUUGCCAGUUACUACGCAAGAGGACUCUGGCGAGACUGCCGUUGACAAAACGGAGGAAGGUGGGGAUGACGUCAAAUCAUCAUGCCUUUUAUGACCUGGGCUACACACGUACUACAAUGGCGUUUAACAAAGAGAAGCAAGACCGCGAGGUGGAGCAAAACUCAAAAACAACGUCUCAGUUCAGAUUGCAGGCUGCAACUCGCCUGCAUGAAGUCGGAAUUGCUAGUAAUCGCGGAUCAGCAUGCCGCGGUGAAUACGUUCCCG
This 996-nucleotide ribosomal RNA is filed under the name uncultured bacterium. RNAcentral's name for it is "bacterial SSU rRNA". It matches the Rfam family "Bacterial small subunit ribosomal RNA", at positions 356 to 1376 of the family's 1533-position model. The record is from RNAcentral.